UACGAAGGGGGCUAGCGUUGCUCGGAAUCACUGGGCGUAAAGGGUGCGUAGGCGGGUCUUUAAGUCAGGGGUGAAAUCCUGGAGCUCAACUCCAGAACUGCCUUUGAUACUGAGAUCUUGAGUUCGGGAGAGGUGAGUGGAACUGCGAGUGUAGAGGUGAAAUUCGUAGAUAUUCGCAAGAACACCAGUGGCGAAGGCGGCUCACUGGCCCGAUACUGACGCUGAGGCACAAAGCGUGGGG
RNAcentral lists this ribosomal RNA (241 nucleotides) under uncultured bacterium. RNAcentral's name for it is "partial 16S ribosomal RNA". It matches the Rfam family "Bacterial small subunit ribosomal RNA", at positions 524 to 766 of the family's 1533-position model. The record is from RNAcentral.